UGCUGCUUUUUAAAACAAGCCAUUGUCGUUUUUGCCAAUUGGUAGCUUAACUGCGAAGAUAUAGAACACUUACCCAGUUCCAAACUUGACAUAUAUUUAAAAAAAAGACAAAUAAUGCAGUUAUUUCUAAUUAGUACAGUAAGGUUUCUGGAUCGUUCUUGCUGAAGUAAACGGGCCUCCGUGUGUGUAAAAUAAUAAAGUAAAAAAGACUAGCAUUGCAGUAUUUUUUUAUUAGUACAGUAAGGUUUCUGGAUCGAUCUUGCCUAAGUACACGGGCCUACAUGUGUGUCAAAGUAUAAAGUAAAUCCUUUCAGUGUCAAGUUAGAUACGGCAAUGUAAGUUAGUGAGUAAUUUGAAACUUAAGGUCAAUUUCAACCAGGCAGGGGGGCACACGUAUACGGGAGCUUACCGCGUUUAAGUGAGAAAGUUGUUGCAAAACUUCAAAGAUGGCGUCGUUUCUUGGAUUUUCUUAAAGGAAGGGAGGAUAUUUUCACCCGAUGAUGCAGGUUAAAGGGCGAAAAUAAGUGCAUCUUUCGUUGCAGUAUAUGUAAUGAGGAAUUUUACAUCAGGGGAGGAUUGAGAUAUCAUGCCCCAUUCAUGGACAACAUGAGUUUAAAUGUAGAAUAUGCAAGAAAGAAUCCUUCAACAGAGCCGGACUAAAACAGCAAAUAAAAAACACGAACAUAACAAAACAUGUACAGCUGAUGAUUGUAGUGUUUUUGUUUUAUUUAUAAAGUCUGCAUAGACACGUCUGACAUAUAAUUGCUAUGAGUGCUACUUACUUACACGUUUUAUUCCGUAUAUGUCAUGAUGCUAGUUUCUCACUUUGUUAUGAAAAUAAACCAUCAUCUGUG
Molecule: long non-coding RNA, 854 nt
Organism: Dreissena polymorpha
Lineage: Eukaryota; Metazoa; Mollusca; Bivalvia; Myida; Dreissenidae
Exons: 2
Source: RefSeq, a predicted model, not a curated record